UUUGGCAAAGCCAUUGAAAAAUGGGGACGCAAAGCUAUAGGGGCUAAAGUAUAUCACAUACCAUGCCAGCCAGUUGC
Molecule: non-coding RNA, 77 nt
Filed under: Robertmurraya massiliosenegalensis
Lineage: Bacteria; Bacillati; Bacillota; Bacilli; Caryophanales; Bacillaceae
Description: Cyclic di-GMP-I riboswitch
Rfam family: c-di-GMP-I riboswitch aptamer
About the family: GEMM was predicted in a large-scale screen for bacterial structured RNA regulatory elements.
Source: RNAcentral